RNAcentral lists this ribosomal RNA (488 nucleotides) under uncultured bacterium. RNAcentral describes it as "partial 16S ribosomal RNA". It matches the Rfam family "Bacterial small subunit ribosomal RNA", at positions 30 to 505 of the family's 1533-position model. The record is from RNAcentral.
AUUGAACGCUGGCGGCAGGCCUAACACAUGCAAGUCGAACGGUAACAGGAAGAAGCUUGCUUCUUUGCUGACGAGUGGCGGACGGGUGAGUAAUGUCUGGGAAACUGCCUGAUGGAGGGGGAUAACUACUGGAAACGGUAGCUAAUACCGCAUAACGUCGCAAGACCAAAGAGGGGGACCUUCGGGCCUCUUGCCAUCGGAUGUGCCCAGAUGGGAUUAGCUAGUAGGUGGGGUAACGGCUCACCUAGGCGACGAUCCCUAGCUGGUCUGAGAGGAUGACCAGCCACACUGGAACUGAGACACGGUCCAGACUCCUACGGGAGGCAGCAGUGGGGAAUAGUGCACAAUGGGCGCAAGCCUGAUGCAGCCAUGCCGCGUGUAUGAAGAAGGCCUUCGGGUUGUAAAGUACUUUCAGCGGGGAGGAAGGGAGUAAAGUUAAUACCUUUACUCAUUGACGUUACCCGCAGAAGAAGCACCGGCUAACUCCG